This 871-nucleotide ribosomal RNA is filed under the name Streptomyces griseorubiginosus. RNAcentral describes it as "bacterial SSU rRNA". It matches the Rfam family "Bacterial small subunit ribosomal RNA", at positions 97 to 999 of the family's 1533-position model. The record is from RNAcentral. Lineage: Bacteria; Bacillati; Actinomycetota; Actinomycetes; Kitasatosporales; Streptomycetaceae.
GGCGAACGGGUGAGUMMCACGUGGGUAAUCUGCCCUUCACUCUGGGACAAGCCCUGGAAACGGGGUCUAAUACCGGAUAUCACUGCCAUGGGCAUCUGUGGUGGUUGAAAGCUCCGGCGGUGAAGGAUGAGCCCGCGGCCUAUCAGCUUGUUGGUGAGGUAACGGCUCACCAAGGCGACGACGGGUAGCCGGCCUGAGAGGGCGACCGGCCACACUGGGACUGAGACACGGCCCAGACUCCUACGGGAGGCAGCAGUGGGGAAUAUUGCACAAUGGGCGCAAGCCUGAUGCAGCGACGCCGCGUGAGGGAUGACGGCCUUCGGGUUGUAAACCUCUUUCAGCAGGGAAGAAGCGAAAGUGACGGUACCUGCAGAAGAAGCGCCGGCUAACUACGUGCCAGCAGCCGCGGUAAUACGUAGGGCGCAAGCGUUGUCCGGAAUUAUUGGGCGUAAAGAGCUCGUAGGCGGCUUGUCACGUCGGGUGUGAAAGCCCGGGGCUUAACCCCGGGUCUGCAUUCGAUACGGGCAGGCUAGAGUGUGGUAGGGGAGAUCGGAAUUCCUGGUGUAGCGGUGAAAUGCGCAGAUAUCAGGAGGAACACCGGUGGCGAAGGCGGAUCUCUGGGCCAUUACUGACGCUGAGGAGCGAAAGCGUGGGGAGCGAACAGGAUUAGAUACCCUGGUAGUCCACGCCGUAAACGGUGGGAACUAGGUGUUGGCGACAUUCCACGUCGUCGKGCCGCAGCUAACGCAUUAAGUUCCCGCCUGGGGGAGUACGGCGCAGGCUAAACUCAAGGAAUGACGGGGGCCGCACAGCAGCGGAGCAUGUGGCUAUCGACGCACGCGAGACUACAUGCUGACAUACACGAAAGCAU